CCUUCAGCCGCACCCAACCCCCAUCUCCGCUUCUGCCCGCGUGCCUACCACCCCAAACUCGCCGGAAAAACUCGCCAACCCGGCGAAUUAACUCACAUGGUCCCCUCAUGCUCCUCACUCAUCAUUAGCAUCUGAUUUUAACGCGUUUUCUUCUCAUCUCACGCGCUCUUCACAAUUUCUUUGAAGAAUCCGAGCCAUUCAUAAAUGGAUGAUAGUUAAAUUGGAGCCGUAGGAUCGAAAUCUUUGGAUCCUAGGCGUCCAUUUGCCUAAAACCCAUUUGCACGAAAAGGUUUUCGGAUUUUUGGGGAUUUUUCAGAUUUUGUGAGAUAAAAAAUCGGAUUUCUUGGAGAGGAAGGAGGAGGAAGCUUCUAGGGUUCCUAUGAAUAGGGCUUCUUUGGACAGAAAAAAGGGGGUUCUGGAGAAAAAUUGGGGGAGGAGAAAUUAGUGUUGAGCCCUUUUCACUUUAGGGAUUCCGUCUUUUUCAGACUUUUAGUUUAAUUCAAAUCUCAGAAAAAUACAAAAAUACAUGUUUCUUCUUUCCAAUUUCAAUUUUCGUUUUCAAAGAUAGGUUUCGAUCGAAGUUCCGAGGUCUGGUUUCAAGUUCUUAGCGGUUUGUUGAUUGACGGCGAGUUUUUGGUUGCUGGUUCGAUCCCUGUUUACCUGCUGCUGUGUCCCUUAUUUAUUUAAUAACUUCAUCGAAAAGUUUGACUUGUAAUCGCUUACAAACAUAUUCAAUCAAAAGCUUUCGGCAUUCAGGUACGGAUUUAUUUACCACAGCUCGAGCAUGAGAGAUACCCCAGGACCACUGCAUUCAGGAGCUUCUUGAGGAGCUUUUUUUUUUUUAUUUUUAUGUUUUUGAGUCUAUUGUUCUUGUUUACUUCCUAAUCUUGUACAGUAGUAUUCAGUCAUUUAGUUGGUGCCAAAGUUGUCGUAGUAUUGUUCAGUUUGUCGAGUCUAUCAUUAUCGUACUUCCUGUUUUGUAUUUGUAAAACCAAAAAAUAUUAUAAAUGAAAAAUCUAAAAAGAUUUUUAUUUUAUUUGUCCA
This is a long non-coding RNA of Nicotiana attenuata, 1044 nucleotides long. RefSeq lists it as uncharacterized. Lineage: Eukaryota; Viridiplantae; Streptophyta; Magnoliopsida; Solanales; Solanaceae. The transcript has 2 exons. The record is from RefSeq and is a predicted model, not a curated record.